RNAcentral lists this ribosomal RNA (288 nucleotides) under Staphylococcus aureus. RNAcentral describes it as "partial 23S ribosomal RNA". It matches the Rfam family "Bacterial large subunit ribosomal RNA", at positions 1216 to 1501 of the family's 2925-position model. Lineage: Bacteria; Bacillati; Bacillota; Bacilli; Caryophanales; Staphylococcaceae. The record is from RNAcentral.
CUUUGGACAAUGGUAGGAGAGCGUUCUAAGGGCGUUGAAGCAUGAUCGUAAGGACAUGUGGAGCGCUUAGAAGUGAGAAUGCCGGUGUGAGUAGCGAAAGACGGGUGAGAAUCCCGUCCACCGAUUGACUAAGGUUUCCAGAGGAAGGCUCGUCCGCUCUGGGUUAGUCGGGUCCUAAGCUGAGGCCGACAGGCGUAGGCGAUGGAUAACAGGUUGAUAUUCCUGUACCACCUAUAAUCGUUUUAAUCGAUGGGGGGACGCAGUAGGAUAGGCGAAGCGUGCGAUUGG